This 121-nucleotide small nucleolar RNA is filed under the name Echinops telfairi (small Madagascar hedgehog). RNAcentral's name for it is "Small nucleolar RNA SNORA61 (ENSETEG00000025522.1)". Lineage: Eukaryota; Metazoa; Chordata; Mammalia; Afrosoricida; Tenrecidae. The record is from RNAcentral.
GCCCUCCCGAAUCCUUACCCAUCAGAUCUGAGUACCCGUCUGAGGGGCCAGAAAGGGAGGAGAAGUAACACGGAGUGGCCUUGGUGUCCCUAAUGACAUAAACAUCUCAUCUCAAACAAAA